Molecule: ribosomal RNA, 231 nt
Filed under: uncultured bacterium
Lineage: Bacteria
Description: partial 16S ribosomal RNA
Rfam family: Bacterial small subunit ribosomal RNA
Source: RNAcentral
CGGGGUGAGUAACGCGUGGGUAACCUGCCUCAUACAGGGGAUAACAGUUGGAAACGGCUGCUAAUACCGCAUAAGCGCACGGCAUCGCAUGAUGCAGUGUGAAAAACUCCGGUGGUAUAAGAUGGACCCGCGUUGGAUUAGCUAGUUGGUGAGGUAACGGCCCACCAAGGCGACGAUCCAUAGCCGACCUGAGAGGGUGACCGGCCACAUUGGGACUGAGACACGGCCCAA